Molecule: ribosomal RNA, 141 nt
Filed under: uncultured eukaryote
Lineage: Eukaryota
Description: partial small subunit ribosomal RNA
Rfam family: Eukaryotic small subunit ribosomal RNA
Source: RNAcentral
UAGUUCGUGGGUUGACCUGUCUGCUUGAUUGCGAUAACGAACGAGACCUCCGCCUACUAAAUACAGCGCUGCCUUUAGGUUGUGUCUGUUCUUAGAGGGACUAUCCGUGCAAGCGGAAGGAAGCUGGAGGCAAUAACAGGU